This 456-nucleotide ribosomal RNA is filed under the name uncultured bacterium. Its description in RNAcentral is "bacterial SSU rRNA". It matches the Rfam family "Bacterial small subunit ribosomal RNA", at positions 28 to 482 of the family's 1533-position model. The record is from RNAcentral.
GAUGAACGCUGGCGGCGUGCUUAACACAUGCAAGUCGAACGAAACACCUUAUUUGAUUUUCUUCGGAACUGAAGAUUUGGUGAUUGAGUGGCGGACGGGUGAGUAACGCGUGGGUAACCUGCCCUGUACAGGGGGAUAACAGUCAGAAAUGACUGCUAAUACCGCAUAAGACCACAGCACCGCAUGGUGCAGGGGUAAAAACUCCGGUGGUACAGGAUGGACCCGCGUCUGAUUAGCUGGUUGGUGAGGUAACGGCUCACCAAGGCGACGAUCAGUAGCCGGCUUGAGAGAGUGAACGGCCACAUUGGGACUGAGACACGGCCCAAACUCCUACGGGAGGCAGCAGUGGGGAAUAUUGCACAAUGGGGGAAACCCUGAUGCAGCGACGCCGCGUGAGUGAAGAAGUAUCUCGGUAUGUAAAGCUCUAUCAGCAGGGAAGAAAAUGACGGUACCUGA